Molecule: ribosomal RNA, 274 nt
Filed under: uncultured bacterium
Lineage: Bacteria
Description: partial 16S ribosomal RNA
Rfam family: Bacterial small subunit ribosomal RNA
Source: RNAcentral
AUACGGAGGGGGCUAGCGUUGUUCGGAAUUACUGGGCGUAAAGCGCACGUAGGCGGAUUAAAAAGUUAGAGGUGAAAUCCCAGGGCUUAACCCUGGAACUGCCUUUAAAACUAGUAGUCUAGAGUUCGAGAGAGGUGAGUGGAAUUCCAAGUGUAGAGGUGAAAUUCGUAGAAAUUUGGAGGAACACCAGUGGCGAAGGCGGCUCACUGGCUCGAUACUGACGCUGAGGUGCGAAAGCGUGGGGAGCAAACAGGAUUAGAAACCCCAGUAGUCC